Molecule: long non-coding RNA, 5214 nt
Filed under: Sus scrofa (pig)
Lineage: Eukaryota; Metazoa; Chordata; Mammalia; Artiodactyla; Suidae
Description: lncRNA (ENSSSCG00000054568.1)
Source: RNAcentral
CCAGAAUUCCUAGAUUUUCACAGGUGUAUUUCUCUGGCUACAGAGUAAGUGAGCUUCCCCAGGGGGUUCUGAUGAGGGACCUGUCUUGGUUACUGACCCUGAAAAGCGGUGUUCAGCCAGACCCUUUGGCCUUUGAGGUCUGUUUACUAUGGUUGGAACAAGUGGUCAGGAAGGAACAGUGUAUCAGGUUGUGCUUGCUUUUCUGGAUUUGCUUAAGUGGUUUUUAAAAAUAGAUGUUACGCAAAUAUAACAGAUUAUGCCUAACUUGGGAUAGUGGGAGCCUACUGCACCCCUGGAGAUUGGUGCAUUUCAACCAGUGUCCCAUCUUGUGUGCAGAUGAAGGAAUAGAGAUCUCUUGUCUAAUCUGAAUAUUCGGCAGCACCUGCAGUUUUCCAGGUAGGCCUUGCUGCAGGUCUUCAGGUUGUUCUGUCUGCUUGUUUUUCCCUGUUCAGUUCUUGAUACUAGUCAGACCUGGUCUGUAUCCGAAUCCCCAUGACGCAGAGCCAGUCAGCCUGGAACUGCGCUGUUUGUGUGCUCAGGUCCUGAACCAAGUGUACAGGUACAUGCCCCUUGCAUAUAACCUGCCUCAUUAUUCAGUUCUCCCACAGGUCUGGGCCACUCUUAAGACUGUGACCCUUUGAUUUGGGGCCAAGAUUUCCUUCCUAGCUCUUGCCAUUCUCUCUCCCAGGAGCUAGAUCCUGACCGAAUAGCUGUUAUCUGGGCUUCAACCAGUCCUGUGUGUCAUGAGCUUAUGAAUAUUGUUCAUUCAUUUAUUAUUUGUUGGUUUUUUUUUUUUUUUUUAAUAGCAGCUUCCUUUUUUUUAUUCUUCUUUUUAGGGCUACACCUGCAGCAUAUGCAGUUCUUGAGCUAGGGGUCAAAUCAGAGCUGCAGCUGCCAGCCUAUGCCACAGCCACAGCUGCACCGGAUCCUUAACCCACUGUGCAAGGCCAGGGAUCAAAUCUGCAUCCUCACAGACACUGUGUCGGGUUCUUAACCUGCUGAGCCACAAUGGGAGCUUCCCAUUAUUUAGGGGAACAAAAUGGUGUAACCCUUGUUCUCAGAGAGUUUAGAUUCUAGUGGGGAAGAAAGAUAUUAAGCCAAUAACCAGACAAGUAAAUAUCCAGUUACAAACUGUGAUAAAUCCUAUGAUGGAUGAGAACUAAAUUCUCAGAAGAAGUAGCAGGCAGGAUCUAAUUUGGAUUGGGUGGGGGUGAGGAAAGUUCUCCCAGAGUUAGCCAAGUGAGGACGAUGAGAAAGGUGAGCAAAUGCAGGUGAAAGGUCUCAGAGGUGGCACUGAGCUUGGCCUCUUUAAUGACUUCCACAGUGGCCAGUGAGAUGAGAGCACUGAUGGCCAACCCUGACUGUGUGAGCAUCCAGUGGCUGCCAUAACUAAUCCUUGCAAACAUACAGCCUGCAACAACAGGACUUACUUUCUCAUAGAUCUGGAGGCCACAAGUACAAAAGAAUAUCCCCGGGCUAAAAUCCAGGGCAGUGCUCCUUCCAGAGGCUUGAGGAGAGCCUUGCUGUUCCAGCCGUUCUUUACUGUUACAGCUUUCGGUGGCUGCCCACAUUCCUUGGCUUGUGGCCACGGCACUCCAGAUCUUCAGAUCUCUCUCUGCUCUACCUUCAUGUCACCUUUUCUGCUGUGUUUCUCAAAUCUCCCUCUGCCUCUCUUGUAUAAGGACAACUGUGACUGUAUUUGGAGCCCACCCAAAUAAUGUAGGGGAAUCUUCCUAACUCCAGAUCCUUAAUCAUAUUAGCAAAAUCCUUUUUUUUUUUUUUUCAUAUCAGGAAACAUCUAUAGGUUUCAGGGAUUAGGACCUGAUAUCUUUGGGGGCCAUUAUUCAGCCCAUUACUCUGGAUUGCUUUAGUAAUCCCUGGAGGAACUUUUAUUUUUAUUUUUAAAAUUUUUUUACUUAUUUUUUCGCUUUGUAGGGCCAUACCCCUGGCAUAUAGAAGCUCCCAGGCUAAGGGUCGACUCAAAGCUACAGCUGCAACGCGGAUCCGAGGUGCAACCUACACCACAGCUGAUGGCAACACCAGAUCCUUAACCCCCUGAGCAAGGCCAGGGAUCAAACCCGUAUCCUCAUGGAUGUUAAUCGGGUUCGUUAACUGCUGGGAGCUCCCCUGGAGGAGCUUUUAAAUCUGCAUCGCCCACGCUCCACCUUACAUCACUUAAAUCAGAAUCUCUCUGUGAGGCUGGGGCAUGGAUAUUUUUAAAAGCCUCCCCAGGCGAUUCUGAAACAACUGCUAGACUCUGUGGCAGAUAACGUCUGGCCUAGAGCAUGAUGAAGGAAGAGCAGGUGUAGUAACAGGCAGGAUGUCAUCACAAUUUGGACACUUCUCCUGCUUUUAACCUGAUGGGACCUGUUGGCCAUCAAUGCCGACUGAAGGAAGCCCUCGCUGAAUGGACCUCUUGGGAAGGUUUUGUGGUUUAACUUCACUGGGAGCAUCUUGGCCCUGCUUCCUUCCAUUCCUGCUUCUUCUUUGCCAUCCAUCUGACGCUGAGGUCUUGGAGCACGUGAUGCCUCAGUCUGCCCAAGUUCUAAAGACGGCAUAGAGCUUACAAGUGAAGGGGGCUCAAACGUCGCUCAUACUUUGCAGGCCUCACACAGAUAGAGCUCACACAAAUACAGCUGGGCGCUCCAGAGCUGUAAGCCCAAGUCUGAAGAUACCUUUGUAAAUUUGUAGGAAAAAAACAAAACCAAACAACUAAGGUUUGAACUACAAACAACCUUAGAGGCAGGCCCAGAACUGAGGAAGCAUGUCAGAGCCUCCAGAACUCAUGACUUGUUUUAGCCGUAGAGAGGGGAUAUUUUUCCUUUCUCACUGGACCCACUUAUCUAUGAAGAUGCUGGUGUUUUUCAGUGAAUGUAUUUGGGGAAAAUGGUAAUUGGGUCUAUCAAGAUCCCUGUGUUGAUGUGCAGCUUUGGCCCUAAGGACAAACGUAGACUCGGAACCACAUAGGCUUGUCACCUGGGAGCUACGAGGAUGACCAGGGAAUGUGCUAAGAAUUUGAUUGUCUGAGAACAAGAACCAAUUUAGGGAGUUCCUCAGUAGCUAUUUGCUAGUAGAUCAGUGUUUUCAAAACCCAGUUAGAAAGUCCCAAGCCCCACUCACCCCUGGACCACUAAUAUCAGGGAAGCCAUCUUUGCUUUUACAAAUCACUGAAUUGUCUCUGGGGAGGCAAAGAGGCAAUGAUCUCUUGGGGGCUGCUGUCUUUUUUACGGUCAUCAGAUCUUGUCAUGGGCUCCAGCCACAGGGGAAUGUUGGUAACACCUGGAAAAGGGAGGGUUGUCUCUUUAAGUACUGGGAAUGUUUAACUGGAAAUCCUUUGUGGAUGGGUCCAAGAUCUGUAUAGCCUCUGUCCUUCUGAUGUGGAACGCCUCCCUAGCACAGGGCCCCAAUUGGUCUCCUGCUCUUUGUUGCCAACAACCAUCUCAGCUUGGGCCAGACAUCAUGAAAAGAUCCAGUAACAGCAUGAUGCUUCAUGUGGGGGGUCCUUCCGUGGUCUUCCUCUUUGUAGCUACCCUCUUGUCUCCAGCAUCACUUGCACCCCAUUUUCUCCUAUCACAAUGCAAAUAUGAACUGUGUCUGUUUAUUAGUGGGUUUCCUUCGGAGUACUCUUUCAGUUUAGGGAGGCUGGGGGGGGGCAUUCUUUUCUGAAUUUUUAGUGUUGCAUAUGCUCAAUGCUCAAAGAAAGGUUUGACUUUCUGGUGGGCUCCCUUUCUGAACCUCUUUUUAAAGCUUCCUGUUGGACAUACCCUUUCUUUUCCAAAAUGGCAGUUUCGUGUCCUGUGAGACAGGAAAUGCCUUUUCUCUUGAUUGCCCCUUUUCAGUGGAAAUCUAUCACAAAGGCAAUCACAAAGAAUUCUUUCCUGCUAAGAAGUUGGGUGCUCCAGUCAUACCUGUCUUAUCUAGAAAGUGGUUCAAUUAUUUUCAUCUCUGACAAAAUGAUGAACUUCAGAGGAUUUGCCCAAGGAGAGAGGGUGGAAGGGUUGGCAUGGCUAGCUUCACUACCCUCAUGUGGAGUCAGAAACCUGAAAACAGCCUCGCUCUCAAGCAUGCAUUCCCCUCUUUGUCCGGGGAGUAACGAUGGCUGAGGCGUUGGCAUGCAGAUACUUGCAGAGUGAAAAUGGAUACACUUCCCCAGCUCCUCAUCCCUGGCCUGGAGGACAGCCUGCCAGCCGUGCAUGCAUGUUGGUUUGGCACUGAGACAAAUGUUCCCUGGAGCAUAGACUGAAACCACCAAACUGAUAUCACAGGGGACACCGGCCAAAUCCUGACCUCGCUCUCUGCAGGUGAGAGGCUGUGGAAUUAACCUGUGAUGCUCUCCGGCUCCCGCCUGGUGGGUGGUCUGGAUUUGUUUUCUUUUUCUUUUUUUUUCUUUUUAAUGCCACAUUUGAAUCUCCUUGCUCUCCCCACCCAACUGGUAUCUACCAGCCACAGAGCCACUCUGCCGGUCUUGGCUUGGGAACAGUGGGCAGUGACUUGGCUCCAAGAAAUGGGCAAACCACACGAUUUCUUCUUGCCCCUUGAGAGGGAAGGGCCACUCAUGGGCUGUUCCAGCCUCGAGCCCGGGUGGCAGGGCCCUCGGGCUGGCAUCGCUGGCAUCUGUGGUCGCGGUCUGCUCCUUUUGCGUCCCUCUCUUCCGCAUUUUUCCUCCCACCGUUCCAACUUCUCCCAUCUCCCCCCCGCCUUUUUUGUUUCCAACCCUUAUUUAUUCAGAGCUUCCAAUAUUCUAAGUUUUUCAUGAAUCCAGGGCUUUAAUUUAGCAUGUGGGGUGCUGGCGCUUCCAGCGAGCUGCUUGGGUCAUUAUUUCCAACGUGAAGGAAUAAAGAGGCAGCAGGGUGCAGUGGACAGCAUGGGGGCUGGACGCCAGAAGGCCCCGUGCUAGUCCCUGUCUUGCAUCUAAGCAGCUCUGGAACCCUGGCCGGGCCUCGCCCUGGCUGCCAGGCUCAGUUUCCUCCCCAGAGGGAUGGGGAAUCGGGGCGAGAUGAUUUCUAAGGCUCGUCUCAUUCUGUGAUUCUGUGGAGCUCACUGGCCACGUGAAAUCCACAUUGGGUUGUGCCAGUGUCACUUUCCUUUGUGUUUUGAAAAACUAUAUUGUUACGAGGAUGAAUGAGGAGAUGUGAGCAGAGUCCCUAAGCUCGAUGUCUCCAACGCAGAAGACCAAGGGGAAAACCUUCCUGGAAAUCACUUUCCAGGGGCCAU